Molecule: ribosomal RNA, 276 nt
Filed under: Bacillus sp. CR5(Thailand)
Lineage: Bacteria; Bacillati; Bacillota; Bacilli; Caryophanales; Bacillaceae
Description: partial 16S ribosomal RNA
Rfam family: Bacterial small subunit ribosomal RNA
Source: RNAcentral
UCCCUGAUGUUAGCGGCGGACGGGUGAGUAACACGUGGGUAACCUGCCUGUAAGACUGGGAUAACUCCGGGAAACCGGGGCUAAUACCGGAUGGUUGUUUGAACCGCAUGGUUCAAACAUAAAAGGUGGCUUCGGCUACCACUUACAGAUGGACCCGCGGCGCAUUAGCUAGUUGGUGAGGUAACGGCUCACCAAGGCAACGAUGCGUAGCCGACCUGAGAGGGUGAUCGGCCACACUGGGACUGAGACACGGCCCAGACUCCUACGGGAGGCAGC